Molecule: ribosomal RNA, 466 nt
Filed under: uncultured bacterium
Lineage: Bacteria
Description: bacterial SSU rRNA
Rfam family: Bacterial small subunit ribosomal RNA
Source: RNAcentral
UUCCAGACUCCUACGGGAGGCAGCAGUGAGGAAUAUUGGUCAAUGGGCGGAAGCCUGAACCAGCCAAGUCGCGUGAGGGAAUAAGGCCCUACGGGUCGUAAACCUCUUUUGCCGGGGAGCAAGGGCCGGGACGAGUCCCGGUCCGGAGAGUACCUGAAGAAAAAGCAUCGGCUAACUCCGUGCCAGCAGCCGCGGUAAUACGGAGGAUGCGAGCGUUAUCCGGAUUUAUUGGGUUUAAAGGGUGCGCAGGCGGAAUGUCAAGUCAGCGGUAAAAUUUCGGGGCUCAACCCCGUCGUGCCGUUGAAACUGGCGUUCUUGAGUGAGCGAGAAGUAUGCGGAAUGCGUGGUGUAGCGGUGAAAUGCAUAGAUAUCACGCAGAACUCCGAUUGCGAAGGCAGCAUACCGGCGCUCAACUGACGCUCAUGCACGAAAGCGUGGGUAUCGAACAGGAUUAGAUACCCGUGUA